RNAcentral lists this ribosomal RNA (898 nucleotides) under marine metagenome. Its description in RNAcentral is "bacterial SSU rRNA". It matches the Rfam family "Bacterial small subunit ribosomal RNA", at positions 461 to 1367 of the family's 1533-position model. The record is from RNAcentral.
AAGAAGAUCUGACGGUACCAGAGGAAUAAGCCCCGGCUAAUUACGUGCCAGCAGCCGCGGUAAUACGUAAGGGGCAAGCGUUACCCGGAAUUAUUGGGCGUAAAGCGUCCGCAGGCGGUUUAGAAAGUCAGUUAUUAAAUACCGGUGCUCAACAUCGGUGCUGUAAUUGAAACUUCUGAACUAGAGGAUGGUAGAGGCAUGUGGAAUGGUGCAAGUAGGGGUAAAAUCCGUAGAUAUGCAUCGGAACACCAAAAGCGAAGGCAGCAUGCUGGGCCACUCCUGACGCUCAGGGACGAAAGCGUGGGUAGCAAAAGGGAUUAGAUACCCCUGUAGUCCACGCCGUAAACGAUGUGAGCUCGAUGUGGGGAGACUCGACCUUCUCUCCGUGUCUAAGGUAACCCGUUAAGCUCACCGCCUGUGUAGUACGAGCGCAAGCUUAAAACACAAAGGAAUAGACGGGGACCCACACAAGCGGUGGAACAUGGGGUUUAAUUCGUCAAUAAGCGAGUAACCUUACCCAGACUUGACAUCCUAAUCGUAUCUUUGAGAGAUCAUUGAGUCAGUUCGGCUGGAUUAGUGACAGGCGCUGCAUGGUUGUCGUCAGCUCGUGCCUUGAGGUGUUCGGUUAAGUCCGUUAACGAGCGCAACCCUCGUCGUGUGUUGUAUUUUCACGCGAGACUGCCCGGUAUAACCGGGAGGAAGGUGAGGAUGACGUCAAAUCAGCAUGGCCCUUAUGUCUGGGGCUACACCCGUGUUACAAUGGGGCAUACAAACCGAAGCAAUACAGCAAUGUGGAGCCAAUCGGAAAAAAUGUCUCUCAGUUCGGAUUGAGGUCUGCAACUCGACCUCAUGAAGUUGGAAUCGCUAGUAACCGUAUAUCAGUCAUGGUACGGUGAAU